Alligator mississippiensis (American alligator) is the source of this 2813-nucleotide long non-coding RNA. RefSeq lists it as uncharacterized. NCBI's taxonomy places the organism in Eukaryota, Metazoa, Chordata, Crocodylia, Alligatoridae. The transcript is spliced from 4 exons. The record is from RefSeq and is a predicted model, not a curated record.
GGCAGGGGAGUUACAAGAAAUAAUGAAGGAGAGAGGAAUAGGAGGAUAGCAUGCAGGAAAAUGGAAGAAUACAAUGAGCUGCUGGCAUGGGCUGAGAGCUCUGCCUAAAGAAACAACCAAACCACAGGACCCUCAAGCAGGCUUAUCGUAUUUGUUGUUCUUCUUGGGACUCUUCUCCAGUUAAGCUACAUCUCGAAAUGUGCUGCCACAACCUGGAUGCAGUACUCCAGCCUUACUGAUGCUGAGUAGAGCGGAAGGAGCUACCUCGCAUCUUAGCACAUGGUUACACGUUAUGUUGUAAGCUGCUCAAAUGUUCAUGGAUGUUAGUGCUAGCAUGAGUUUGGAGCAGUCACAUGUUCAGGCCAGCAAGGGCCUGCAGGAUUGAAAGAGGUGCUGCAUCUCCACAGAUCCUACCACGGGAGGUCUGAGCCCUCCACAGCUUGCCUGGGCUCAUGCAGUUGGGUCUUUUGCAGGAUCUAGAGCCCAAGCUUUGAGAAACGUCUACUGAUGCUGGCCAAGUGGAGGUACCUGACCGGAGCUAGAUCUUCAGAAAAAAAGCUGCAGGUUGAAUGCAGGGUGCUGACCUCUUGCAGUGCAAAGAUGACCUGGAGGGUAGCAUGGUUGCCAACUGAUGACCAUCCAGGAAGGGGUAGGACCCUGUCAACUCAAAGGUCUACUGAUCUACAGGCAGAUUGAACAGUAGGAAAUGUGGCAUCCAGCCGUGUUAGCCAUCUCUCUGUGAUUUUUGCCUGGAAUCAGAAGCUCACUGGGGAAACAACUUUCAACCACCAUCCAGUGACAGACCAAGAGAAAAGAAAGACCUUAUUUGCUUGGGUGAGACACACCAUGAUGAUAUGGAUAGUUUGGUUAACAAUCAUUUAAGUUGUGUCUGCUGCUGUAAUGGACUGUUGUUACUUUAAUGUGUGACUGACUCACAGCACUUCAAUGAUCAUAGAAUCAUAGAAAAGUUGGGCUUUUCUUGCCUCUGGAGGUCAUCUAGUCCAGCCCCCUGCCAAAGGCAGGAUCAUCCUUAUCUGAACCAUCCCAUACAAAUCCUUGCCAAACAUUACUAGAACUAUACAGUCACCCUUGACACACACUACAAAAUACAAUGCUUUACAUGCCACAGGUGGCCAGUGGUGGCCAGUGUCUUGAUCCUGUGAAGAUUGUUAACAUACCAUACCCCUUCUUCUCCAAUACAGAGGAAGGCAAAAUCCCCCACAGCCUGAACCAAUCUAAUAAUGGGGUAAAAUUCCUUCCUGACACCAAAUAUGAGUGGAGGGGCAAGCCCCUAAUGAUCUGAGUAAAGUGUUCACUAUAAGCAAACCUCAGCUAUAAAACUUAGCUACAAAUGCAACCAGGAGGAAAGUGGACGUGUUCUUUUGGCUCAGGGUGAUGCUGCUGACUUCUCUCCUUCUGGUGUAAUGACAGAGCUGAAAUUGCUAAUGUUGUGCUAAUGGAUACUGCCCCUACUUGGCUUCAAUAGAGCCAUAAUGAUGAAAGCUGGGUUAGGACGGGGAGCAUCUGAAUGUGUUGUCUUGGCUGGAGGUGACAGAGAUAGUGUGGAUGUCGAGAGGGGAUGCCAGUAAUGCAAAAUCUCAUGAAAAAAUCAUGAGACUCCUGAUUUCCAAGUCAAAUUAACUCUGACUCAUGAUCUCCUAAUCAAGAGAUCAAAUCUCGGGAUUUUUUUCAUCUGGUGCAUCUAGAGAGCACCAAGCUGGUAAGUCUGUGGAGGGGAAGGAGCAGGAGGAGAGGGAAGGGGCAGGAGGGGACAGAUCAAAACCCCCACGGUGAGGGAGGGAGUGGGGCAGGGGCUGGGGUGAAUGGGUCCCGGGGCUGGGGCAAGUCAUGCAACAGAGCCAUGGGCAGCUGUCUGUUUGUGUGCAUGUGCCUGUCUGCCCCUUACUCAAGCCACAGCCCCUGCCCCCAGCCCUGCUGAUGCCCCUCACUCCUGACCCACAGUACCCCACAACCUGCCAGGGUGUGCGGGGACUCCCCCUCCUUGGGCUCCAAACCCCAAACACACCCCACAGCCCCAAACCCCACACCCCCCCCACAGCCCCACACCCCACACUUACCUUCACAAAUCCCCUCCCCACAAUCACACUUCAGAAAUAGCAUCUCAUGAUUUACAUUCACAAUCUCUUGAUUUUUUUUAAGAGUUUGUCUCCUGGUUUUUGACACAGCAGGAUUGGCAAUACUGGGAUUCAGAGGCAUGGCAGGAUAAUACUGUGCUAUUGUUAGAGGGUUUGCAGCAGCAGCAUGGCUGCUAGAGGUAAUAGUUUAGUGAGAAGCGAUGUCCAGACAUGGUUGUCUGGGCAGAGAAACCAGGCAGAACUCUGCCAAGGGUUUGUAAUGGAGAGUCUCAGCUGUAUUUCUGGGCGCUGGGACUUCACUGACAAUGUACAGUGAAUAAAGAAAAAAAAAGGGGGGGGGGGGGAAGGAAAUGCCAAAGACUAUGUGUACACCGGAUCUUGAUGUUGGUACAUGAGGAAACGGAGAUAAAGGACUACUAAAAAUUCUGUGGGGGGUGGGUUUUAGUUACUGCCUGUAUAAGUUACUUGUAUAAGCUUACUGGUGAUUUCUUCUUGUUGUGCUUUCCCAGAUUAAUAUUUUAGUAUUUGUUUUAAUACUGACAAGAUUUCUUUUUUGCUUUGUUUUGCUUUAUACACAGGCUCAGGACUUGAUGGGGAAAGCCUGUCCAUUAAAACAAAGUCUAGCAAAGGUAUUCGCUUUCUCCUGGGUUUCUGUCUGGCAAAUCAAGGGGUGGGGAAUUGGUUCUGUUCUACUUGCUUAAGGAUUGUAGCAACGAC